GCCUACCGUGGUGUAGUUGUUAACACGUCUGACUCGGCUUGUCAGAAGACAUGGGUUCGAAUCCCAUCAGAGGCG
Molecule: non-coding RNA, 75 nt
Organism: Phthorimaea operculella (potato tuberworm)
Lineage: Eukaryota; Metazoa; Arthropoda; Insecta; Lepidoptera; Gelechiidae
Source: the annotation of a GenBank genome assembly